Molecule: long non-coding RNA, 710 nt
Organism: Oreochromis aureus
Lineage: Eukaryota; Metazoa; Chordata; Actinopteri; Cichliformes; Cichlidae
Source: Ensembl
GUUAAACUAAAUUAUAAGUAGCUGCAAUAAAAAGCUUUUAAACUGAGGCUAAUUGUUUGUCUGUAGGUGAUAAAUGUCAUAAACUGUUUUAUGAACUGUGUUCAUCUGUUAGUCACUGAGGUUCCAUCAACAGCAUCACUGCUGAUGUUUUUCAGCAGCAGAGGAGAUCUGUGGUGUGGUUGGCAGGGCUGGCAUGUGCCUGAAGCCUGGAGGAGACGACAUCAGCUGUGUCACCACUGGGGGGCGCUGUUGGUGGUGGGAAUAUGGGAAAUCCACUUCAGCAUAAUCAACUCCAUUCAUGUCAUCGUUAGUCUGACAUCAAACUUCAGACUCUAAAUUAAAUGAUAAAGUUCCCCUCAGGGUGUUGAUGAAGCAGAAAUGAACAAAAUAAUGAAAAUAUCCAAAACACUAAAGCAAAACAAAUCAACUGUACCACAAAUAACAAUAAUCAUCGUCUCUAAAAAUAAUACUUAAUAACAAAUGAAAGAUUUUAUUAUUGGACUGUUUUUAUCUAGCUGUACCUAAUAAACUGGGACCAGAGAGUCCACAUUGACUUUAUGCAUUCCUCAUCAUUAAUAUUAGCUGGCAGAAAGAGAUGAUAUAGUAAAAAUCAAAGAGCUUAAAAUCAGACCACAGUUUUACUUUGUUGUGAGCAGAGGUGGAGAGGCUGCAGAGGUCUAUGUUUACAUCUCCAUCUGGUUGGAGGCUUU